UACGUAGGGUGCAAGCGUUGUCCGGAAUUAUUGGGCGUAAAGAGCGUGUAGGCGGCCCCGUUAGUCCGCUGUGAAAGUCCAGGGCUCAACCCUGGAAUGCCGGUGGAUACUGCAGGGCUAGAGUACGGAAGAGGCGAGUGGAAUUCCUGGUGUAGCGGUGGAAUGCGCAGAUAUCAGGAGGAACACCGAUGGCGAAGGCAGCCCCCUGGGCUAACACUGACGCUCAGGCACGAAAGCGUGGGGAGCAAACAGG
Molecule: ribosomal RNA, 253 nt
Filed under: uncultured bacterium
Lineage: Bacteria
Description: partial 16S ribosomal RNA
Rfam family: Bacterial small subunit ribosomal RNA
Source: RNAcentral